RNAcentral lists this ribosomal RNA (164 nucleotides) under uncultured bacterium. RNAcentral describes it as "partial 16S ribosomal RNA". It matches the Rfam family "Bacterial small subunit ribosomal RNA", at positions 355 to 511 of the family's 1533-position model. The record is from RNAcentral.
UAGGGAAUCUUCCACAAUGGACGAAAGUCUGAUGGAGCAACGCCGCGUGAGUGAAGAAGGGUUUCGGCUCGUAAAACUCUGUUGUUAAAGAAGAACAUAUCUGAGAGUAACUGUUCAGGUAUUGACGGUAUUUAACCAGAAAGCCACGGCUAACUACGGGCCAG